Molecule: ribosomal RNA, 253 nt
Filed under: uncultured bacterium
Lineage: Bacteria
Description: partial 16S ribosomal RNA
Rfam family: Bacterial small subunit ribosomal RNA
Source: RNAcentral
UACGUAGGCAGCGAGCGUUGUUCGGAAUUACUGGGCGUAAAGAGUGUGUAGGCGGUGCUCCCAGUCUGUUGUGAAAUCUCCCGGCUUAACUGGGAGGGUGCAGCGGAAACUAGAGUGCUAGAGGGUGGGAGAGGUAAGCGGAAUUCCUGGUGUAGCGGUGAAAUGCGUAGAUAUCAGGAGGAACACCCGUGGCUAAGGCGGCUCUCUAGUACGGUACUGACGCUGAUGUGCGAAAGCGUGGGGAGCAAACAGG